AUUCAGACUUGCCGUAUUUUUUUUUUGUUACUGAUGCCAAGUUAGUGUAUCUAUAAAAAACACCUGCACUUUCUCCUCUAAACCUACACAAUGGUGUUUUGUGAAAGAUGAGCUCAGCUUUUGUUGGUCUGACAAAAGAAAACCUCUGUGCUGAGCUGCAACACGCUGACACAUCCCUGCCCUUCAUGGAGUCAGAGGACGCUCAGACGGCGUCAGUUUGUACCAGGAAAAGAGGUACCAGGAACAAGACG
Molecule: long non-coding RNA, 251 nt
Organism: Nerophis ophidion (straightnose pipefish)
Lineage: Eukaryota; Metazoa; Chordata; Actinopteri; Syngnathiformes; Syngnathidae
Exons: 3
Source: RefSeq, a predicted model, not a curated record